Molecule: ribosomal RNA, 426 nt
Filed under: uncultured bacterium
Lineage: Bacteria
Description: bacterial SSU rRNA
Rfam family: Bacterial small subunit ribosomal RNA
Source: RNAcentral
UGGGGAAUUGUUCGCAAUGGGCGCAAGCCUGACGACGCAACGCCGCGUGGAGGAUGAAGGUCUUCGGAUUGUAAACUCCUGUUGCUCGGGACGAAUGGCUCCGACCUAACACGUCGGAGUGUGACGGUACCGGGUGAGGAAGCCCCGGCUAACUCUGUGCCAGCAGCCGCGGUAAUACAGAGGGGGCAAGCGUUGUUCGGAAUUACUGGGCGUAAAGGGCGCGUAGGCGGCCUGCUAAGUCGAACGUGAAAUCCCCGGGCUCAACCCGGGAACUGCGUCCGAUACUGGCAGGCUUGAAUCCGGGAGAGGGAUGUGGAAUUCCAGGUGUAGCGGUGAAAUGCGUAGAUAUCUGGAGGAACACCGGUGGCGAAGGCGGCAUCCUGGACCGGCAUUGACGCUGAGGCGCGAAAGCCAGGGGAGCAAACG